This 229-nucleotide ribosomal RNA is filed under the name uncultured bacterium. RNAcentral's name for it is "partial 16S ribosomal RNA". It matches the Rfam family "Bacterial small subunit ribosomal RNA", at positions 568 to 796 of the family's 1533-position model. The record is from RNAcentral.
UCCGUAGGCGGGCAGCUAAGUCAGUGGUGAAAGUCUGCAGCUCAACUGUAGAAUUGCCAUUGAUACUGGUUGUCUUGAAUUAUUAUGAAGUGGUUAGAAUAUGUAGUGUAGCGGUGAAAUGCAUAGAUAUUACAUAGAAUACCAAUUGCGAAGGCAGAUCACUAAUAAUAUAUUGACGCUGAUGGACGAAAGCGUGGGGAGCAAACAGGAUUAGAUACCCUGGUAGUCC